GUGCCAGCAGCCGCGGUAAUACCGGUGGCUCGAGUGGUGGCCGCUAUUAUUGGGUCUAAAGGGUCCGUAGCCGGCCUGAUAAGNUACUUGGGAAAUCCGGUGGCCUAACCAUCGGGCGGCCAGGUAAUACUAUCAGGCUCGGGACUAGGAGAGACCAGAGGUACUCAUGAGGUAGGAGUGAGAUCCUGUAAUCUUAUGAGGACCACCAGUGGUGAAGACGUCUGGUUAGAAUAGGUCCGACGGUGAGGGACGAAGGCUGGGGGCGCAAACCGGAUUAGAUACCCGGGUAGUCCCAGCAGUAAACGAUGCCAGCUAUGUGUUGCUGGAACCAUGGGUUCCAGCAGUGCCGAAGGGAAGCCGUGAAGCUGGCCACCUGGGAAGUACGGUCGCAAGGCUGAAACUUAAAGGAAUUGGCGGGGGGGUACCACAACCGGUGGAGCCUGCGGUUUAAUUGGAUACAACGCCGGGAAUCUUACCGGAGGGGACAGCAGUAUGAAGGCCAGGCUAAAGACCUUGCCAGAUCAGCUGAGAGGAGGUGCAUGGCCGUCGCCAGCUCGUACCGUGAGGCAUCCUGUUUAG
RNAcentral lists this ribosomal RNA (579 nucleotides) under uncultured bacterium. RNAcentral describes it as "bacterial SSU rRNA". It matches the Rfam family "Archaeal small subunit ribosomal RNA", at positions 455 to 1033 of the family's 1478-position model. The record is from RNAcentral.